Pseudophryne corroboree (corroboree frog) is the source of this 261-nucleotide long non-coding RNA. RefSeq lists it as uncharacterized. The record is from RefSeq and is a predicted model, not a curated record. Lineage: Eukaryota; Metazoa; Chordata; Amphibia; Anura; Myobatrachidae. The transcript has 3 exons.
GGAGGAUGAUUUUAGGAAACGAAACUGAGAGUUUCCCCGUGUGCCAGGCAUUGUCCCCCGUCAUUGCAGUGUGAGACCACCAUUAUCCAGCCACACAGGAGUCACCCGCAGGAAUGGAACCCAUCAUUUCGCAGCCAGGAAUGGUCACCACUCAGACUGUGACCGUGGCGCAGGGGCCGCGCUGGAGCAGCGACCUGUGCGACUGCUGUGAAGACUGCGGGAUAUGUUGCUGUGCCCUGUGGUGUUUCCCCUAUAUCAUUA